GGAGGCACAAACACAGGGAGCGCCCUGGAGUUUAUCAGGACCAACUAUUUGACUGAGGAGUCUGGCAGUCGGGCCAAGGACAGAGUUCCUCAGAUAGUUAUCCUGGUGACUGACGGGGAGUCAAAUGAUGAGGUCCAGGAGGUGGCUGACCGGUUGAAAGAAGAUGGAGUUGUUGUGUUAUGUGGUAGGGGUCAAUGUCCAGGAUGUCCAAGAGUUGCAAAAAAUAACCAGUGAGCCAUUUGAGAAGUUUCUCUUCAACACUGAAAACUUCAAUAUCCUGCAGGAUUUUUCAGGAAGUAUUCUUCAGACUCUGUGCUCAGCAGUGGAGGGUAAGAUAAAAGAAUUCAUCAAAGCCUAUGCAGACAUGGUCUUUCUUGCUGACACAUCACAAGACACAUCACGGGCCAGUUUCCAGAGGAUGCAGAAUUUCCUCUCCAGAGUGGUUGGCAUGCUGGAGGUUGGCAGGGACAAGUACCAAAUUGGGCUGGCUCAGUAUGGUGACCAAGGUCACACUGAGUUUUUGCUCAAUACCUACAAGACCCAGAAUGAGAUGAUAGCUCACAUUCAUGAGCAUUUUGUGCCCCUGGGUUGCUCCAGGAGGACAGGCAAGGCACUGUGAUACCUUCUUCAGACAUUCUUCCAGGAGGAAGCAGGAAGCAGGUUUCUCCAGGGCAUUCCCCAGUAUGCAGUGGUCAUUAAUUCAGGCAAAUCAGAGGAUGAAGUCCAGGAUGCUGCACAGAGACUAAGAGAGAAAGGUGUGAAAGUUAUGUCUGUGGGUGUGCAGGACUUUGACAGGAGAGAACUGGAAGGGACGGGAUCCCCAGACCUUGUCUAUGAUGUGCAGAGAGAAGAUGAAGUCAGACACAUAGUAGAAGAUAUGAAUGUGGUGAUCCAAGGGACUAGACAGCAGGAACACAGGAUUACAGCCAACGAGGAGGCUGUAGGAGCGUGCGCAACUGCUGUCCCGGCUGACUUAAUAUUCCUCAUUGAGGAAUUUAGCAGGGUUAGGCAACCCAAUUUCCAACAAGUUGUCAAUUUCCUAAAGACCAUUGUCAGUUCUCUAAACAUUCGUCCUGAUACUGUGAGACUUGGCUUGGUCUUCUACAGUGAGGAACCACGACUUGAAUUUUCACUGGAUGCAUUUCAGAAUCCAGCCAAAAUCUUGGAGCAUUUGGACAAAUUAACCUACCGGGAAAGAAAAGGAAGGACGAAGACUGGUGCUGCAUUAGAUUUCCUGAGGAACGAGGUUUU
Long non-coding RNA from Homo sapiens (human), 1251 nucleotides. Ensembl annotates it as collagen type VI alpha 4 pseudogene 1. Its record names the gene COL6A4P1. The record is from Ensembl. Lineage: Eukaryota; Metazoa; Chordata; Mammalia; Primates; Hominidae.